GCUGGCGGCAGGCUUAACACAUGCAAGUCGAGCGGGGGAAGGUAGCUUGCUACCGGACCUAGCGGCGGACGGGUGAGUAAUGCUUAGGAAUCUGCCUAUUAGUGGGGGACAACAUCUCGAAAGGGAUGCUAAUACCGCAUACGUCCUACGGGAGAAAGCAGGGGAUCUUCGGACCUUGCGCUAAUAGAUGAGCCUAAGUCGGAUUAGCUAGUUGGUGGGGUAAAGGCCUACCAAGGCGAUGAUCUGUAGCGGGUCUGAGAGGAUGAUCCGCCACACUGGGACUGAGACACGGCCCAGACUCCUACGGGAGGCAGCAGUGGGGAAUAUUGGACAAUGGGGGGAGCCCUGAUCCAGCCAUGCCGCGUGUGUGAAGAAGGCCUUAUGGUUGUAAAGCACUUUAAGCGAGGAGGAGGCUACUUUAGUUAAUACCUAGAGAUAGUGGACGUUACUCGCAGAAUAAGCACCGGCUAACUCUGUGCCAGCAGCCGCGGUAAUACAGAGGGUGCGAGCGUUAAUCGGAUUUACUGGGCGUAAAGCGUGCGUAGGCGGCUUAUUAAGUCGGAUGUGAAAUCCCCGAGCUUAACUUGGGAAUUGCAUUCGAUACUGGUGAGCUAGAGUAUGGGAGAGGAUGGUAGAAUUCCAGGUGUAGCGGUGAAAUGCGUAGAGAUCUGGAGGAAUACCGAUGGCGAAGGCAGCCAUCUGGCCUAAUACUGACGCUGAGGUACGAAAGCAUGGGGAGCAAACAGGAUUAGAUACCCUGGUAGUCCAUGCCGUAAACGAUGUCUACUAGCCGUUGGGGCCUUUGAGGCUUUAGUGGCGCAGCUAACGCGAUAAGUAGACCGCCUGGGGAGUACGGUCGCAAGACUAAAACUCAAAUGAAUUGACGGGGGCCCGCACAAGCGGUGGAGCAUGUGGUUUAAUUCGAUGCAACGCGAAGAACCUUACCUGGCCUUGACAUACUAGAAACUUUCCAGAGAUGGAUUGGUGCCUUCGGGAAUCUAGAUACAGGUGCUGCAUGGCUGUCGUCAGCUCGUGACGUGAGAUGUUGGGUUAAGUCCCGCAACGAGCGCAACCCUUUUCCUUACUUGCCAGCAUUUCGGAUGGGAACUUUAAGGAUACUGCCAGUGACAAACUGGAGGAAGGCGGGGACGACGUCAAGUCAUCAUGGCCCUUACGGCCAGGGCUACACACGUGCUACAAUGGUCGGUACAAAGGGUUGCUACACAGCGAUGUGAUGCUAAUCUCAAAAAGCCGAUCGUAGUCCGGAUUGGAGUCUGCAACUCGACUCCAUGAAGUCGGAAUCGCUAGUAAUCGCGGAU
RNAcentral lists this ribosomal RNA (1319 nucleotides) under Acinetobacter baumannii OIFC143. Its description in RNAcentral is "bacterial SSU rRNA". It matches the Rfam family "Bacterial small subunit ribosomal RNA", at positions 35 to 1349 of the family's 1533-position model. The record is from RNAcentral. Lineage: Bacteria; Pseudomonadati; Pseudomonadota; Gammaproteobacteria; Moraxellales; Moraxellaceae.